RNAcentral lists this ribosomal RNA (253 nucleotides) under uncultured bacterium. RNAcentral's name for it is "partial 16S ribosomal RNA". It matches the Rfam family "Bacterial small subunit ribosomal RNA", at positions 524 to 776 of the family's 1533-position model. The record is from RNAcentral.
UACAGGGGGCUCAAGCGUUGUUCGGAUUCAUUGGGCGUAAAGGGCGCGUAGGCUGCGGGGCAAGUCGGGUGUGAAAUCUCAGAGCUCAACUCUGAAACUGCACUCGAUACUGCUUUGCUCGAGGACUGGAGAGGAGAUUGGAAUUCACGGUGUAGCAGUGAAAUGCGUAGAUAUCGUGAGGAAGACCAGUGGCGAAGGCGGAUCUCUGGACAGUUCCUGACGCUGAGGCGCGAAGGCCAGGGGAGCAAACGGG